This 468-nucleotide ribosomal RNA is filed under the name uncultured bacterium. RNAcentral's name for it is "partial 16S ribosomal RNA". It matches the Rfam family "Bacterial small subunit ribosomal RNA", at positions 28 to 507 of the family's 1533-position model. The record is from RNAcentral.
GACGAACGCUGGCGGCGUGCUUAACACAUGCAAGUCGAGCGGACAGGCCCUGCUCUUGUUGGUUGCUCGAGUGGCGAACGGGUGAGUAACACGUGAGUAACCUGCCCUUGACUUUGGGAUAUCUUCAGGAAACUGGGGAUAAUACCGGAUAGGAUCUCCUGCUGCAUGGUGGGGGAUGGAAAGUUUCGGCGGUUGGGGAUGGACUCGCGGCUUAUCAGCUUGUUGGUGGGGUAGUGGCUUACCAAGGCUUUGACGGGUAGCCGGCCUGAGAGGGUGACCGGGCACAUGGGGACUGAGAUACGGCGCAGACUGCUACGUGAGGCAGCAGGGGGGAAUAUUGCACAAUGGGCGGAAGCCUGAGGCAGCAACGCCGCGUGCGGGAUGAUGGCUUUCGGGGUGUAAACCGCUUUCGCCGGUGACGAAGCGUGAGUGACGGUAAUGGGUAAAGAAGCAACGGCUAACUACGUG